Molecule: ribosomal RNA, 253 nt
Filed under: uncultured bacterium
Lineage: Bacteria
Description: partial 16S ribosomal RNA
Rfam family: Bacterial small subunit ribosomal RNA
Source: RNAcentral
UACGUAGAGGGCAAGCGUUGUCCGGAUUUAUUGGGCGUAAAGAGCGUGUAGGCGGCUAGGUAGGUCCGUUGUGAAAACUCGAGGCUCAACCUCGAGACGUCGAUGGAAACCAUCUGGCUAGAGUCCGGAAGAGGCGAGUGGAAUUCCUGGUGUAGCGGUGGAAUGCGCAGAUAUCAGGAGGAACACCAAUAGCGAAGGCAGCUCGCUGGGACGGUACUGACGCUGAGGCGCGAAAGCGUGGGGAGCGAACAGG